UCAGGUAAAGCAAGUAGAAAAAAUGUGAGGAGCAAUUUGAAGCUGAUGGCGGCAGGCUUUAAAAUUAUGGCCAUGAAGAUAUUUAAUUUUCCACCAUCUUUUGGCUUCUAGAAAAGAAUCUGCUCAGGUGCACUCAUUUUCAUUAUCUCCAGUGUGGCGGCUCAUAACUGCACGCCUAAGAACCUGGAAAUCCCUGAAAGAGAUGGGUUCCGAUCUGGGAUUUUCUUUCUCUUUUGUGGCGCUGGUAAUUGGACCUGGAGCUUUCUGAACGCCGGGCAACCAUUCUGUCGGUGAACUAUGACCUCAGCCCAUUAGGGGAUUUUUUUUUGGACUUUGAGAAAACAGUUGAGUUAGCAGACAGCCCAUUUUAAAGAUGGCUGCCUGUUAAACGGGGUUUCUUUCCUCGCAAAAAGUCCUGAAGAGGAUGUCAGAUGCCCUGAACUGGAGUUGUAGAUGUUUUUCGCCAUAUGUGGGAGCCAGUAAUGACUGAACCUCGGUCCUCAGCAAUAGCAGCAAGUAUUUUUAAUCCAC
Long non-coding RNA from Psammomys obesus (fat sand rat), 531 nucleotides. RefSeq lists it as uncharacterized. The record is from RefSeq and is a predicted model, not a curated record. The transcript has 3 exons. NCBI's taxonomy places the organism in Eukaryota, Metazoa, Chordata, Mammalia, Rodentia, Muridae.